GAAGGCAGUGACGACUCGGAAAAUAUCAAGCUCAACAGACCGGAAUGAGGUGUUUCUUCCUUUACCGGAGAUUCGUUUCUGUGUCGAUAAUCCCGCUGAACUGAGCCUUC
RNAcentral lists this small nucleolar RNA (110 nucleotides) under Brassica rapa (field mustard). RNAcentral's name for it is "Small nucleolar RNA Z107/R87". It matches the Rfam family "Small nucleolar RNA Z107/R87". Rfam says of the family: Z107 and R87 are members of the C/D class of snoRNA which contain the C (UGAUGA) and D (CUGA) box motifs. Most of the members of the box C/D family function in directing site-specific 2'-O-methylation of substrate RNA Lineage: Eukaryota; Viridiplantae; Streptophyta; Magnoliopsida; Brassicales; Brassicaceae. The record is from Rfam by way of RNAcentral.